This 465-nucleotide ribosomal RNA is filed under the name uncultured bacterium. RNAcentral's name for it is "partial 16S ribosomal RNA". It matches the Rfam family "Bacterial small subunit ribosomal RNA", at positions 28 to 507 of the family's 1533-position model. The record is from RNAcentral.
GACGAACGCUGGCGGCGUGCUUAACACAUGCAAGUCGAACGGAAAGGCCCCUUUGGGGGUACUUGAGUGGCGAACGGGCGAGUAACACGUGAGUAACCUGCCCUUGACUUCGGGUUAACUUCAGUAAACUGGGGCUAAUACCGGAUAGGAAUCCUUGCUGCAUGGUGGGGGUUGGAAAGCUUCGGCGGUUUGGGGUGGACUCGCGGCUUAUCCGCUUGUUGGUGGGUUAGUGGCUUACCUAGGCAUUGACGGGUAGCCGGCCUGAGAGGGCGACCGGCCACAUUGGGAAUGGGGUACGGCCCAGGAUCCUACGGGAGGCAGCAGUGGGGAAUAUUGCACAAUGGGCGGAAGGCUGAUGCAGCAACGCCGCGUGCGGGAUGACGGCCUUCGGGUUGUAAACCGCUUUCAGCAGGGGAGAAGCUUGUGGUGACGGUACCUGCAGAAGAAGCACCGGCUAACUACGUG